RNAcentral lists this long non-coding RNA (9255 nucleotides) under Musa acuminata (dwarf banana). RNAcentral's name for it is "long non-coding RNA (MACU_LNC001082)". The record is from RNAcentral. Lineage: Eukaryota; Viridiplantae; Streptophyta; Magnoliopsida; Zingiberales; Musaceae.
UGGAAGGACCCUCGUGAUUUUUUAUUAUAUACGAAGAAAAAUACUGUUAGAUUAAUUAAUCUGAGCUCUAACUUAUACUUCCAAAACAUAAUUCCAAACACAUAAUUAACGAAGAAAAGAGACACACGUACAGAAGAAAAGGGAGGUGGAUGCUGAAAUAGAACGAUAGACAAUUCUGGUGAAGGUAAUAGAGGUUGACUGCCAGCUGCAGGUGCAUGCUAUAUAUCCUUAUUCCUCAUGCUAUUGAUUUAUUUAUAUUUAUAUAUAUGCAUGAGGUGAUACUGAUCAGCUGCAAGCGUGCGGCGCGAAUCCAAUUCUCUCAUUUCCUACAUCGUAGACUACUUCAAAUGUUCGCUGCUGCACAUUGCCAAUGAUCCCCAAGCGAUCAACUUGCUUACCAGAAAAUGCCAAGCAGUCAUGCCUGAGGAUCCCAGAUACGUUGAGAUCCAGUGUGACUCCAUCGAAGUGCAGCGCUACUUUGGGGACUGUUAUGGUCUUGUAGCCACUGAAGUCAUAACAGGUAUCAAGCAGUCCGUUAGUAGGCUUAAGAGGGUACGCCGACAUGUGCUCCCGGAACGCCGACCUCAGGGCCUCGUAGGCCGACGGCGGGAGGCGAGUGAUCGUAGUGCCGGAGUCCAAUAUCGUGCCACCGGACCUAAAAACCGAUGGCGAAAUGGCGAGCUGCUCCCCGGCCACGCUGAUUCCGAUCAGGUCAACGAAGUAAAAGCUUGGAUACUUGGAGCUGGUCUGCAUUCGAGUGUAAACGGUGUUGGAGGCGUCACUAGGUUCGCCCAGUUUUAGGAACCCCAUGUUGCUGGAAGUCGAAGGAAGGCAGUAGGAGAAGACCGAGUGGUAAAGUUGCGACGUCUGAGACACAAGCGACUGCUUGCCACGGCCGAGACCCACGAGCCCUGCGGCGUCGUGGAACAGCCCUUCGUUGUCGGUGCCGCACCCGAAGAGGAAGUGCUCGAUCACGUCGUUUGGCGACAGCGUCAGUCUGUCGUAGCUGUAGACUCCUGAACUGUUCGACCCAUCGCCGUAGGGGAUGAAAUAAGCGCAAGAGCUGGAGCAGCUGCCUCGGGGCUGACUGCAUUCCGACGAGUUGCAAGGGAUCGCGGCGUAGGAGGAUGAUUGGGAUGGGUCAAAGAUCGGCUCCUGCUGCGAGUAGCAUUUGUUGCAUGGUUUGCAUUGGAUCCAACUCAGGUCGCUCCCGGUGUCCAUCGUCACAGUCUGCUCUCGGCUGGGGGUGCCAUAGCCGACGGUGAUCACGUACUCCCCUCCUCCGAACUCCGCGGGGAUGCUUGCCAAGGAAUCAUUGAGCUGUGACUUCACGACACCCUUUAGGAGAUAAUUUACUCGAAGUUGGUCUUUAAGAAGGAUUUGUUCAGGUGAUGGCAGUUCCUUUGUCUCGAAGGGGGAGCAGGGUCCAUAUCGACUGACCAACCGUAUAGAGGUAACGUUGGAUCCUGAGAACCAUGCAUGCAUGCAUGGAAGUAUAUAUCACCACCAAUAGUCAGUAUUAAUUUUUUGUCUUUUAAGUAAUUUUACGUCAAACAAGUGCAGCAAUUUAUAAGUACAACUUCCAUCUGCUUGCUCGGUAACAUCGUGCUUCCAAUUUACAGCUUAAAGAGAUAGAGAAGGAAGUCUUAGUUAAAACUACAGAUGAUACUUUAUAACAGCAGCGCAAAUAAAACACCAAAAGUAAGAGGCAGCCGAUGUAUGAUUAACCUUUGAGCGGGGAGCAGACUGCUCCGGGAUUCAAAGAACGUCUUUGAACCUUAUGGUAGCUCUGUACUUCUCCAUUGGCAAGGUGAGAACGGUAGCUUAGGAGCAGAAACAGAACACAAGAGCUGGUUAGGAGGGCAGCUGAAGCCAUUAGUUAGCUGGGGAGAUACAAGUCUUGUGCGUAGGAGCUCUGGCUAUGCAUCCAAUUUAUAGAGAACCUUCAAUGCUACCUUCUCUCCUUGAAUCUUCAAAGCGAUGCUUUUGGUUUGGCCUCUGAUUACCACAUGCGAAAUUGAUUUAGAAGGCUGUGGACUAGUCGUUGACGUAGGACCCACUGGCUUAGUCAAGGUCAGAUUGUCCGAUCUUCGCGGAGUCACAUAAAUUUUAUCUCGUAUCCCCGUCGACGUGUGGAAGAUCCAUGGAAAUGAUAAGAUCUCCAGUCAGCUACCAGUCCGAAGCGAUGACUUGCAACGAUCCAAGGUCUUCACGUGGUGAUUUCUUCGGUUACCAGGUCCGAUGUAUCUGCCAGUAAUUAAUUCGUGGACUCAUGGCAUCCGACUGGAGUUAAUUGACAGCAAUCAUAUGGCAUGAUUCGACGUCCACAGGAUCAUUUUCCACUGUGGCUCAUGCGGAACCAGAUUGCAAAGAACAUGUCAUACCUCAGAGCUACUUCGGUCCUCCAACUACUAUGAGAAGAACUUUAGCUGGUUCACUGAUAUGAUAAGUUCUAGGCGCUGAAACAGUUGUGGGCUUAAGGAACCGACACAGGCGAUGUGAUAUUGCUGCACUUCUCUUGUUGGCCAUGUCGGAGGGUAAGGAAAAGAAGAAGAUGAGGAGGAGGAGGAGGAGGAGGAAGCAGGGUAAGACAGGGACGGCGAGGUGGCGAUUUACGAGACAGUCAAGAACUGGAUGAUUGCACCGGACAAAGUACGUCUAUAUCAUAACAGCUAAGAAACAAUGACAUGCGUUCUCGGAUUAAUUAUGGACCAUAUUAUUGAGCAAUAUCUUCUUUUGUUUCGUUUAUCAUCUUUUGCGCUUGACUAUAUCUGUGCAUUACUGAUAGCAAAUGGCCGAAAGCUGCCUGUAUUUAUAUUUCUUUCUUUUUUCGCGUUAGAUAAGGCUCAGGUACAGAAGCUAUGAAGACAAAGGGAAGGAAAAGACUGGUCACAACAAUUCGGUAAUGUAAUGUUUUUGAUAAGAAUACAAGCGAAUAGAUAUGUGUUACGUAUCGGAUUAAGCGUAUCAAAUCGAAUGAUAGAAAUCAAUAAUUUAGUUCAAACCAGCAUCAGACUGUAUAAAAAAAAAAAAGUAAUUUUUUUGAAAAAAAUUCUUCUUUUUUUUUCUGAAAAGGGAUCUCUGUUUUACUUUUUCACAAAAUGAGACUCCCUAAUUCAAAUAAUACUCAAAAUACUCACCGUCAUUGCUAAUGGUAUUUUUCUCAUCAAAUUUGUUUUGUCUAUUUUUUUAUUAGUUUCGAAUCAUUAUAGUGUUUUUAUUUGGCUCAUUUAUAAUAUUUUUCAAUAGCAUUACGGUAUUGUGAUGGUGGCAAUAAUUUUUACCCAUAUUUAGAUGAUGUUGUUAUUCAUAAAUUAUUAUUAUAGUACCUAUUUGAAUUCUAAUAUGAUAUAUUAAAUAAUUUUUAGUAUAUUUUGAUUUUAUUUGACUUGCUUAUAGUAUUUUUUUUACAACAUUAUAGGUUUUAUUAUGAUAUUAAGGAUAUUAUAAAGCUAUUGAAAAAUAUUGUAAGUAACUUCGUAUUAUGUCUCUUUGCUUAUCGUUGCUCAUAGAUUAUUACACUACCAAAUCAUGGAUGCUGAACACAUGCAUAUUUGGAGGUUUUCGAUACGCUGACGAACGAGAAAGAGCAAGGAAGAGGAGGAGGUGGUGGAGGCAACGGCGGCAGGAAAAGCAAGCAAGAGAAGCCAUUACGCUUGCAGAACUCGGUGAUCUGAGCUUGGAACGAGUGAAGGGAGUAGCUCUAAAUAGCUGUGCCUCUGCGCGUUCAAGUUUCAACGGGUGGUACAUCGCUUUCUCCCACUUGUCUUCCUCCUGUGGCCACUCGAGUCCUCUGUGGCGAUUACGUCAUGCGUCAUUGCGCAACAAAUAACGGGUUGGGUCAAGGAAGAGACCCUCGUGAUUCUUUAUGAGAUCCAAUCCACUCACGAGCAGAAAAGGAGGUGUGAUCACAUGCUGGAAGGCACUAAGAAUUAAGCCCGUAUAAUUGACUCCUGACUUGUUGUCAGACACUCUCGAGUCCCGUGGGAAGACCAUCCAAGAAGAGGCCUCAGCUUUGAAUUGGAAUCUUCUUUCUAACUUAGGCCGUGAAGCAAUGGCGACCAACCUUUGAGUUAUUCCAUAGACUAACAACUUUGUGGCUAUUUGUUUAGUAUUGGAUUAAUGGACUGAACUCAAUCGUUCCUCGCCCAAAAGAACCAUUGGCUAAUGUUACUUGAUAUGAAGGAUCCAAAGCAACCACCAAGAAAAGAAUGUCGAAAGAAGAACCACAAAGCAUUUGAGAACAAUCAUGAUCUCAAGGUGGCCUAUCACUUUCUUCUUCCUUCUUUCCUGCUAUUUCUUCUGAUAUAAUCAUGUGGAAAGACAUAAUAUAAUCCAUCUCUAAGCAGUGUGGCUCCCUGUGGAAAGACAUAAUCUAAUCCAUCUCUAAGCAGUGUGGCUCCCUGCGACAGGCUCUCUUACGUUCAUGCGUUUCUGGCUGACAUAAGUCUACGGAGACAUGAUGUUGCAGAGGUUGCAUAAUCCACCGCACCUCUCCAACAUUUCACAUGGCAAGCCCCGUUCCGUUUGUCAUGUCCUUGCUAAGCUUUUGGAAUGUUGCAGAAAACGAGCCAUGGGGUUCGUGCAAUGCUUCUCAAAUUGGAACAGUGGUGAGAAAUCUGCGGUGGCUCAGUCACUGUCGGUCGAUAGACCAUGAAAUGUUUGAAGGACUCGUAAUUCUUCCUGCAUGUGUUUAAUUUCUCCUCGGGAUAAGCCAAGCACUUGAAAAACCAUCUCCAAUGCAUAAGCUAGAUUAAGCAUCUCAUGUGGAGAUCAGGAUACCUGCAGUUUAAGGAGUGCUAAUAUCACAGACUAUACAAAUCACCCAGCUUGUGUACUAGACAUUGUCUUUCUUCUCCGAUGAGUGGUCAGACUUCCACUUCAAGUGUUGGAAGAUGUAGCCAGGGCACUUGCAAAUAACAAGUCGGGUGGUUCUUGAUGUGGAUGGUUGGAGAUGGCAUUCUCGAGGGUUGUCGAAGGAUGCAAUUUGCAUUUCGACAUGGAACAGUGAAGAUAAUGUGCUUCCUCUGGUUCAGUGGUGCCAGUGCCUCAGCUACUAGCUUUGUUGCUUGCUCAUGCCAAGAUAAGUGGGAGGAGUAGAAAAUUAGAACCAUUCAACAAAGGAGAUGAUUCUUGCAACACCACAUUUGAAGCAUGGUCAUCAUGCAUCAACCUGUGUAGUAGGUGGUGUUCUAACAUUUGCACCCCAAAAAGAAGGGUUUGACCAAUGUGCAUUGGCUGUUGCUUCAACCUCUGUUCAGAAGCAGAAAGUGUUGUGCUAGCCAUCAUUAUUAAAGAUUAUGGAUGGUAGCAUCAACCCUUUUUUGUCAGUUACAGAGAUGACUGAAUCACUAAUGCUCAGAGACUCCAGCAUGGCUGGCCAUAUGUCCAGCAAGAAAACUAUGGAGAUCAACCCAGAGAAUCCUAUCAUGGAGGAGUUGAGGAAGCGAGCAGAUGCUGACAAGAAUGACAAAUCAGUUAAGGACCUGACACUUCUGCUGUUUGAGACUGCUCUCCUCACCUCUGGUUUCUGCUUGAAUGACCCCAAUACUAUUGGCAACAGGAUCCACCGAAUGCUGAAAUUAGGUCUCAGCAUCGAUGAGGAUGAAAAGGUUGAAGACACUGACAUGCCUACGCUUGAGGAUGCUGCUGAUGCCGAAGAGAGUAAGAUGGAGGAAAUGGACUAAUCUGGAUCAAGUUGGCUUUCUGUAUUCUGCUGCUUCUCUUGCAAUUUUUUGGUGUGCUUUUCAUAUAUGCACUAACUAUGUAGACGGCCUUCAUCACCUUUUGCCAAAGAGAUCUUUAUAACUGUUGUCUAUGCAUGCAUGGAUAAUUCAUGUUCUAUGUUAACAAGUCUAUGGUUUGAAUGUCGAUUUAGCAUGGUUGACAUUUCAUUUUUAUAGUCCUGUCUUGUGGCAAGAAGCUGCAUGAAAACAGAAUCAUGUCUAAGUUUGUCUUGAUAGUAAAUGCCAUGUUCCAGAGUAAGAUUUUGCUUUCAUUAAUUCGAGUUCGAUCGAUCAUGGAGCAUUUGGUUAUCGGAGUUCUAGAUGUUUUGCUUUGAUCAUUAGCUACGCAAUGGAAGUCAUGUGUGAAUUGUGAUGAUAUAAAUAAGAAGCUGCUGAAGAAUGACUGCCAAAUUCAACUUUACGGACAAAAGAGACAGACAUACUGAUAAUAGAUUCGGAGGAACAGAAUCUAUACUAUGUGAACAUACUGACUCCGGGUGUCUUCAUUUUGUCACCCAUUGUUCUUAUUGAUGCAGAAAACAAAGAGCAGGUGGUUGCGUGGUGAAUCAAUCAGCUGCAAGCCUGCGGCACAAAUCCAAUCCUCUCGUUUCCUAGAUCAUAGACCACUUCAAACGUUUGCUGCUGCACGUUGCCGAUGAUACCGAACCUACCGCCCUUAUAUCCAGUAAAAGCCAAGCAGCCAUGCAUGAGGAUCCCAGAUAUGUCGAGAUCCAUUGUGACUCCAUCGAAGAGCAGCGCUACUUUCGGGACUGUUAUGGUCUCGUAGCCGCUGAAGUCAUAACAGGUAUCGAGUACUCGCGUAGGAGGCGCAGCGGGGUACUGGGACAUGUAGCACCGGAACGCAGACCUCAGUGCUCCGUAGGCCGACGCCGGGAGGCGAGUGAUGGUAGUGCCGGAGUCGAUGAUCGUGCCACGGGACGAGAAAACCGAUGGCGAAAUGUCCAGUUGCUGCCCACCGACACUGAUUCCGAUCAGGUCAAGGAAGUAAAAGCUUGGAUGAUUGGAGCUGGUCUGCAUUCGAGUGUAAACGGUGUUGGAGGCGUCACCAGGUUCGCCCAGUUUCAGGAACCCGGUGGAGCUGGGAGUCGAAGGAAGGCAGUAGGAGAAGACCGACUGGUAAACUUGCGACGUUUGAGACACCAGAGAGCGCUUGCCGCGGCCGAGGCCCACGAGCCCUGCGGCGUUGAGGAACAGCCUUUCGUUGUCUGUGCCGCACCCGAAGAGGAAGGGCUCGAUCACGUCGUUUGGCGACAGCGUCAGUCUGUCGUAGCUGUAGACUCCUGAACGUUUCGGCCCACUGCCGUAGUGGAUGACAUAAGUGCAAGAGCUGGAGCAGCUGCUUCGGAGCUGACUGCAGUCCGACGAGUUGCAAGGGAUCGCGGCGUAGGAGGAUGAUUGGGAUGGGUCAAAGAUCGGCUCCUUCUGCGAGUAGCAUACGUUGCGUGGUUUGCAUUUGAUCCAACUCAGGUCGCUUCCGGUGUCCAUUAUCACAGUCUGCUCUUGGCUGGGGGUGCCAUAGCCGACUGUAAUCACGUACCCCCCUCCUCCGUACUCCGCGGGGAUGCUUGCCUUGGAAUCAUCGACCUGUGGCUUGGCGGAAGGCUUCAAGGCACUUCGCCGGAGAUAGUUGACUCGAAGUUGGUCUUUCAGAAGAAUCUCUUCCAGCGAUAGCAGUUUCUUGUCGUCGAAGGGGGAGCAGGGUCCAUGCCGAUGCACCAACGGGAGGGCGGUAGCGUUAGAUCCUGAGAACGACGAAACUAUCUUUUAAGGAAACUGUAUCAAAUGGUUUCAGCAAUUCAUGGGUAGAAUUUCCAAUUUUCUACGGAGUAUGAGAUCUGCAACCCAAAGAAAAGUUUGAUGCAAGAGAGCAGCUGGGGUAUGACUGACCCUUGGAUGAGGAGCAGACAACUUCGGGACUCGAAUUAUGAUUUCGAACCACGUGGUAGCUCUGAGCGUCUUCUCCGCUAGCAAGGGAAGAACAGUGACUCAGGAACAGAACAGAAGAGCCGAUUAAGAGAGCAGCCGAAGCCAUUUGCUGGGAAGAUACAAGCCCUGGCCGCAGGAUAGCUAUGGCAAUGCAUCCAAUUUAUAGAGACUUCGAAACCACUUUCUUUGUGCUACCACAUUGGCCUCUGAUUUGAGUCAAGUAUGUGGACUAGUCGUUGACUUCGAAUUGACUGGCAUCGUCAAGUUCUUCCACACAAUCACGGACCAAUUUAUGCUUAGUUUCGCAAUCCCACUGCAAAAUCCACGAAAUAAUUUGGUUUACGACACAACGAUGAGUUCGAAAGGAAGAGUUUUGACAGUUCAAAGUCGAAUGAUUAGAGCCACAACUCGAGUGCAACAUAAAUCCUGACUGGCUCAUAAAUCGUCAACUAAUAACAACCACAACUAAAUGCUUCCUUAUGGGUGUUCUACGAGUCACCCAGGCGAGUGGAUCGGGAGCUAAUCGAGAGGGAAUUACACAGUAUACUUCCAUGUCCGCACGAACCAAAGUGCGCAAGAACAUGGACUCGUACUUCUGAAACCUGCAAUGAUAGAUCGAUAGCUCCGAUACUGUAUGUGAUGAACGGAUUGCACUAUGAGAAUAACUUCAGCUGGUCUGGUGUUGAAUCAAUGGUUGGCAGCAGCAGAGGCUAAUCAAAAGAAGAAGACGAAGAGGAGGUACAGGCAGGGGAGGUGGCCAUGAAAGAGACACACUCCCAAAUGAUUGCGAAGGACAAGCUACUCCAAGUGACAUUAAACUACUCGGCAACAAUGGCGUUUUCCAAUUAAUCAUGGACCAAUUUAGCUUUAUUUGGAGAGUAAAAUAGGAUGGAAAGUUAUCAGACUUUGUAGAUCUUUAUGCAGACUAGAAGAGUUUAUUAUUAGUAACAUAUAUUUUCUACGCAUGUUAAGAUCUAUAAAGUUGCAGAUGGUGUGAUUUAUAAUGAAAACAAUAUCACAACAGUUAUCCCUUUUAUUAAAAUUAUCACAAGUACAAGUUUGAAUUAUGAAUUAGACAUGAAUUUGCUAUUAGAUUUAAGCUUCCCAUACAUUUUAUGUUAUUAUUUGUUUUUUUGAUCAAAUAUACUUUUCUUAUGAUUAAGAAUAAUCUACAGUAAAUUAAAUUAUAUGUGCCUUCAACAGCUAGUUAUAGAAUUAUAGCAUUUCACUCACAUCCUCUAGCUUUUCUCUAUCGUCUUCCUCCUUUCGAUGUGGUGACUAAAUAGACCAUCCUUCAGAAGGACCCUCGUGAUUCUUUAUUAUAUACGAAGAAAAAUGUUGUUAGAUUAAUUAAUCUGAGCUCUAGCUUAUACUUCCAAAACAUAAUGCCAAACACAUAAUUAACCAAGAAAAGAGGCACACGUACAGAAGAACCAGAAUGGUGUAUCACAGAUAACAGUUUACUGAAAUAGAAGCAGGGAGGUGGAUGCUGAAAUAGAACGGUAGACAAUUCUGGUGAAGGUAAUAGAGGCUGACUGCCAGCUGCAGGUGCAUGCUAUAUAUCCUUAUGCCUCAUGCUAUU